Molecule: RNase P RNA, 448 nt
Filed under: bovine gut metagenome
Description: Bacterial RNase P class A
Rfam family: Bacterial RNase P class A
About the family: Ribonuclease P (RNase P) is a ubiquitous endoribonuclease, found in archaea, bacteria and eukarya as well as chloroplasts and mitochondria.
Source: RNAcentral
AGCCGGAUAAUCGCGCCUUUAUAGGUGAGGAAAGUCCGUGCAUCCAAGGACAGAUUGCCGGAGAAACUCCGGACGGCGUGAGCCGGUGGAUCGGACCACAGAAAGGGUAAAUAUUAGGACAACCUGAUAUUGUAAAACCAAAAGACUGCCGAUGGAUAAAGACCACAAUUCCAUAUAGGAUGCGUGGAGAGUUAUCACAGGCGAUGGUGCAAAGGUGAGGUAAGAGCUCACCGGCGGUAUCGAGAGGUAUCGGCCGGGCAACCCCCAAUCGGAUGCAAGAUUGAUACAAGCGUUUGAGGUGUCCGCCAAGCUUGAAAAAUCGCUCGAGAUUAGGAGUAAUCCUAAUACAAGAUAGAUGAUUAUCGGGGUAAUUCUACCCCCUGCCGAUUGAGCAAAACAAAGUUUUGAAUGUCGACAGAGAAACAGAACACGGCUUAUGAACUGCUUU